UAUCGCCAGAAUACAUUAGCAUGGAAUAAUAUUAUAGGAUCUCGGUUCUAUUUUGUUGGUUUCUAGAAUUGGGAUAAUGAUUAAUAGGGACAAUUGGGGGCAUUCGUAUCAACACGUCAGAGGUGGAAUUCUUGGAUUGUGUUGCGACGAACUACUGCGAAAGCAUUUGCCAAGGAUGUUUUCAUUGAUCAAGAACGAAAGUAAGGGGAUCGAAGACGAUUAGAUACCGUCGUAGUCUUUACCACAAACUAUGCCAACUAGGGAUGGGGCAUCGUUCACUCACGACUUGCUCCGCACCUUAUGAGAUAUCAAAGUCUUUGGGUUCCGGGGGGAGUAUGGUCGCAAGGCUGGAACUUAAAGGAAUUGACGGAAGGGCACCACCAGGAGUGGAGCCUGCGGCUUAAUUUGACUCAACACGGGAAAACUCACCAGGUCCAGACAUAAUAAGGAUUGACAGAUUGAUAGCUCUUUCUUGAUUUUAUGGGUGGUGGUGCAUGGCCGUUCUUAGUUCGUGGAGUGAUCUGUCUGCUUAAUUGCGUUAACGAACGAGACCUUAACCUGCUAAAUAGGAGCGUAUAUCUUCGGAUAAACGCCUUUCUUCUUAGAGGGACUUUACGCGUUUCAGCGUGAGGAAGUUUGAGGCUAAAACAGGUCUGUGAUGCCCUUAGAUGUUCUGGGCUGCACGCGCGCUACACUGAUGCGUUCAACGAGUGUACAACCUUGCCCGAUAGGGUUGGGUAACCUUCUGAAAACGCAUCGUGAUGGGGAUUGACUAUUGCAAUUAUUAGUCAUCAACGAGGAAUUCCUAGUAAUGAUGGAUCAUCAGUUCAUCGUGAUUACGUCCCUGCCCUUUGUACACACCGCCCGUCGCUCCUACCGAUUGAGCAUUCCGGUGAAUAUUUCGGACCGGCGUCUGUCGGGGCAACUCGCUCGGAUGCUGGAAAGUUAAGUAAACCUUAAUGCUUAGAGGAAGGAGAAGUCGUAACAAGGUUUCCGUAG
Molecule: ribosomal RNA, 999 nt
Filed under: Amoebophrya sp.
Lineage: Eukaryota; Dinophyceae; Syndiniales; Amoebophryaceae
Description: SSU rRNA
Rfam family: Eukaryotic small subunit ribosomal RNA
Source: RNAcentral